Molecule: long non-coding RNA, 768 nt
Organism: Gadus morhua (Atlantic cod)
Lineage: Eukaryota; Metazoa; Chordata; Actinopteri; Gadiformes; Gadidae
Source: Ensembl
GGCGGGUCACUCCAGGCUGCUGCAGUCGUCGUCACUGUCGCUGCUAGUUGUAUCAUCCAGGAUGACCGGUGAAGGACUCGGAGGAGGAAGACUGAACUGCUGGGGACCUGGAAUGUAGAAGAUCAUCGUUAAGCGUACAAUUUGGUGACAUGGGUAAAGCUCCAUCAAACUGUAAAAGGUUCAGCACAUCCCUCUUGCCCCUCAAACGCUUCAAGAGAAAGCUAUGAGGCAAAAGCCUGCUUCUUCCCUCCUCUGCCAAGCCAGUUGAAUUUCAGCGCGAAGUGGUUGGUGAGGAUGUGGCGAAGGAUUCUUCGAACCUCGUCACCAGGAUUGCAGCCCCCAAGCGCACUAAGGUGUGCUGCCUGCAGGGUGCUCCUGGUUUGGGCUUUUUUCAGGUUCAUACGCGCUGCAUCAUAAUUGGCUGUUGAAGACAACAAUGAAGUCUCAUCUGGCCUAGCGCUUUGGAUGACUGCAACUUUCGUCCGCUUGGUGUCUUUAUACGGUGGCCAAAAAGACACCUUGCCAUCCAAACUUAGCCACGAGCAAGGCACAACCUCCACCUCGUUUGACUCGGUUCCCAACCACAGCUGUCCCCAGUGCAGUUGAAUCAACAGGGUGGUUGAAAAAUGGACGUUGGUCUAAAUAUUGCCUCGCCACAAAAGACGUACCACCAAGUGUCCUGCUAAUUGCCUCUAUUUUAAAAGUGGCACCACCACACAAAACUGUGUUGUUCCCAUCCUUUGUGGACAGGGUAAAUCUAUCAGUGGC